GACGAACGCUGGCGGCGUGCUUAACACAUGCAAGUCGAACGGAAAGGCCCUGCUCUUGUGGGUUGCUCGAGUGGCGAACGGGUGAGUAACACGUGAGUAACCUCCCCCUGACUUUGGGAUAACUUCACGAAACUCGGGCUAAUACCCGAUAGGAGCUCCUGCUGCAUGGUGGUGGUUGGAAAGAUUCGGCGGUUGGGGAUGGACUCGAGGCUUAUCAGCUUGUUGGUGGGGUAGUGGCUUACCAAGGGUUCGACGGCUAGCCGGCCUGAGCGCGGGGACGGCGACAAUGGGACUGAGGUACGGCGCAGACUGCAACGGGAGGCAGCAGUGGGGAAUAUUGCGCAAUGGGCGGGAGCCUGAUGUAGCGGUGCCGCGUGCGUGAUGCCGGCCUACGGGUUGUGAACCAAUUUCGCAGGUAACGAGGCGUGAGUGACGGUAAUGGGUAAAGAAGCAACGGCUAACUACGUG
Molecule: ribosomal RNA, 468 nt
Filed under: uncultured bacterium
Lineage: Bacteria
Description: partial 16S ribosomal RNA
Rfam family: Bacterial small subunit ribosomal RNA
Source: RNAcentral